GAGGUAAUGUCUAUUAUAGCUGGCUCCAGACCGAGGUAAUGUCUAUUAUAGCUGGCUCCAGACAGAGGUAAUGUCUAUUAUAGCUGGCUCCAGACAGAGGUAAUGUCUAUUUUAUCUGGUUCCAGACAGAGGUAAUGUCUAUUAUAGCUGGCUCCAGACAGAGGUAAUGUCUAUUAGAGCUGGCUCCAGACAGAGGUAAUGUCUAUUAUAGCUGGCUCCAGGCAGAGGUAAUGUCUAUUAGAGCUGGCUGCAGACAGAAAUAAUGUAUAUUAUAGCUGGCUCCAGACAGAGGUAAUGUCUAUUAUAGGUAAUGUAAAAGGUCAGGUGUGUGUGUGUGUGUGCUAUAUCUGGGUCCAGCCAGACUGAAUGCUAAAUCAAAGUGUAUUGGUGGUGUACAUUGUCUAUCAGAUGUUACAGCAGGUGCAGAGAGAUGCUUCUAGGGAGUUGGCUAGGAGAUAGAAACAGGGAGACUGUCAGCGCCAUCUUGUUCAAAAG
Molecule: long non-coding RNA, 495 nt
Filed under: Salmo salar (Atlantic salmon)
Lineage: Eukaryota; Metazoa; Chordata; Actinopteri; Salmoniformes; Salmonidae
Description: lncRNA (ENSSSAG00000098649.1)
Source: RNAcentral